GCUGUAAACACCAGCAAUUCCCAAUGGUUUAACAGAAUCAUUCCUCCUCUGACCACAUAAUUGCUAAAUUGUGCAUGUCAAAUGGCUUCAGGAUAUUCGUCCCCCUUUCCAGCAGGUUUAUCAAGGAAAACUUGCUGGAGAAUGGUGUUGUUUGUGUGUCCUUUAAGUCGGGAACUCAAAGGUCAAUAGUUGCCAAAAGCAUUUUCACUGAGUAACUGCUUCUUUUCCCAAGCUCUGCAACGUGCUGUCUCAACCAGUGAUCCUUAUCAGUUAUUUCUAAAUGUGUGCAUUUCGUUUGGAAGCCAACACCAGCGUUUACAUCCAAGCUUGAUUAUCAUUCAUCACACGAUUGUUUAUAUCAUGCCUAUACACCAAAUCAACAAGUGUCUUGUCUGGUGCUGAAGCUGCAGCCCCAGCUUCUAUUGGAGUCUCUGGCCAGCAUUGGGGAGCUCUCACAGCCACCCCUGCUUGACCUGGUCCAGUCUGGACAAACACGUGCAUGCUAUGCCUCUGUGUCUCAUGAAACUGUACUAUACCUGCUGGACUGAAUGGAAAUCGACAGAUUCAUCUCCUGAGGAUGGCCGUAUCUGUGGUGGACAAGCAAGUCCUCCUCUACAUCCAAAAGAAGCUUGAUCUUACCCUUUAGAAUCCAUUUUACAUCAAAGUGGGGAACCUGGAAAUAUUGAAUGUCCUCUGAGUUCAUGGGGCUUUGGCAGUGGGAAAGCUAAACAAAACGGAGCACAGAGAGAGUGUGAGACAGACUUUCCCAAGAUCCCCAGGUGGGUUUCAUAUACUGCCUACCUCAAGAGUGAGUCUGGUUCAGCUUCCCACAGUGGCCAUAAGGGCCAAAUUAUCUUACCCCAGCUAUUGUUCGCUGCUAGAGCCAGAUCUACAAAG
This 897-nucleotide long non-coding RNA is filed under the name Bos indicus x Bos taurus (hybrid cattle). RNAcentral's name for it is "lncRNA (ENSBIXG00005012179.1)". The record is from RNAcentral. Lineage: Eukaryota; Metazoa; Chordata; Mammalia; Artiodactyla; Bovidae.